Molecule: ribosomal RNA, 886 nt
Filed under: uncultured archaeon
Lineage: Archaea
Description: bacterial SSU rRNA
Rfam family: Archaeal small subunit ribosomal RNA
Source: RNAcentral
UUUCCGGUUGAUCCUGCCGGAGGUCACCGCUAUUGGAAUUCGCUUUAGCCAUGCAAGUCUAAAGGACUUCGGUCCUUGGCGGACUGCUCAGUAACACGCGGAUAAUCUACCCUCGGGAGGGGGAUAAACUCGGGAAACUGAGUAUAAUACCCCAUAGGUGUAGGAUACUGGAAUGUUCCUACGCUGAAAGUUCCGGCGCCCGAGGAUGAGUCUGUGGCCUAUCAGGCUGUAGUGAGUGUAACGGACUCACUAACCGACGACGGGUACGGGCCUUGAGAGAGGUCGCCCGGAGAUGGACUCUGAGACAUGAGUCCAGGCCCUACGGGGCGCAGCAGGCGCGAAAACUUCACAAUGUGGGCAACCACGAUGAGGGAAUUCCAAGUGCUCAUGCUUUGCAUGUGCUGUUUCUUAGCCUAAGUAGCUGGGAGAGUAAGGGCUGGGUAAGACGGGUGCCAGCCGCCGCGGUAAUACCCGCAGCCCGAGUGGUGAUCGGUUUUAUUGGGCCUAAAGCGUCCGUAGCCUGUCUGGUAAAUCCCUGGGUAAAUCGGGUCGCUCAACGAUUCGAAUUCCGGGGACACUGCCAGACUUGGGACUGGGAGAGGCCAGAGGUACUCCAGGGGUAGGGGUGAAAUCCUGUAAUCCUUGGGGGACCACCAGUGGCGAAGGCGUCUGGCUAGAACGGGUCCGACGGUAAGGGACGAAGCCCUGGGGCACAAACCGGAUUAGAUACCCGGGUAGUCCAGGGUGUAAACGCUGCGAGCUUGGUGUUGGGGGUCCCACGUGGGCGUCCAGUGCCGGAGAGAAGUUGUUAAGCUCGCCGCCUGGGGAGUACGGUCGCAAGACUGAAACUUAAAGGAAUGGCGGGGGAGCACCGCAAUCGGAAUGC